UACGUAGGGUGCGAGCGUUAAUCGGAAUUACUGGGCGUAAAGCGCGCGCAGGCGGUUCUUCAAGUCAGUGGUGAAAGCCCGGAGCUCAACUCCGGAAAUGCCAUUGAAACUGUUGAACUUGAGGACGAGAGAGGUGAGUGGAAUUCCCAGUGUAGAGGUGAAAUUCGUAGAUAUUGGGAAGAACACCGGUGGCGAAGGCGGCUCACUGGCUCGUUUCUGACGCUCAGGCGCGAUAGCGUGGGGAUCAAACAGG
RNAcentral lists this ribosomal RNA (253 nucleotides) under uncultured bacterium. RNAcentral describes it as "partial 16S ribosomal RNA". It matches the Rfam family "Bacterial small subunit ribosomal RNA", at positions 524 to 776 of the family's 1533-position model. The record is from RNAcentral.